This is a non-coding RNA of Podarcis lilfordi (Lilford's wall lizard), 68 nucleotides long. Lineage: Eukaryota; Metazoa; Chordata; Lepidosauria; Squamata; Lacertidae. The record is from the annotation of a GenBank genome assembly.
GACUGUAGUUCAGUGGUAGAACAUCUGCUUUGCAUGCAGAAGGCCCCUGGUAUCUCUAGGUAGGGUUG